GUAGUCAUAUGCUUGUCUCAAAGAUUAAGCCAUGCAUGUCUAAGUAUAAAUAAAUUUAUAUUGUGAAACUGCGAAUGGCUCAUUAAAUCAGUUAUGAUCUACGUGACAUAUUCUUUACUACUUGGAUAACCGUGGUAAUUCUAGAGCUAAUACAUGCAAAAAAACCCAAACUUACGAAUGGGUGCACUUAUUAGAUAAAGCCAACGCUGGGUAAAACCAGUUUCCCUUGGUGAUUCAUAAUAAUUUAGCGGAUCGCAUGGCCUUGUGCUAGCGACAGUCCACUCGAUUUUCUGCCCUAUCAUGGUUGAGAUUGUAAGAUAGAGGCUUACAAUGCCUACAACGGGUAACGGGGAAU
RNAcentral lists this ribosomal RNA (355 nucleotides) under Mucor racemosus. RNAcentral describes it as "SSU rRNA". It matches the Rfam family "Eukaryotic small subunit ribosomal RNA", at positions 20 to 370 of the family's 1831-position model. Lineage: Eukaryota; Fungi; Mucoromycota; Mucoromycetes; Mucorales; Mucoraceae. The record is from RNAcentral.